UACGGAGGGUGCGAGCGUUGUCCGGAUUUAUUGGGUUUAAAGGGUGCGUAGGCGGCUCCUUAAGUCCGGGGUGAAAGCCCGUUGCUCAACAACGGAACUGCCCUGGAUACUGAGGAGCUUGAGUGCAGACGAGGUUGGCGGAAUGGACAGAGUAGCGGUGAAAUGCAUAGAUACUGUCCAGAACCCCGAUUGCGAAGGCAGCUGACUAGGCUGUUACUGACGCUGAGGCACGACAGCGUGGGGAGCGAACAGG
RNAcentral lists this ribosomal RNA (253 nucleotides) under uncultured bacterium. RNAcentral's name for it is "partial 16S ribosomal RNA". It matches the Rfam family "Bacterial small subunit ribosomal RNA", at positions 524 to 776 of the family's 1533-position model. The record is from RNAcentral.